UUACCGAGUUUUCGAGCUUCGGCUCGACUCUCCCACCCUUUGUGAACGUACCUCUGUUGCUUUGGCGGCUUCGGCCGCCAAAGGACCUUCAAACUCCAGUCAGUAAACGCAGACGUCUGAUAAACAAGUUAAUAAACUAAAACUUUCAACAACGGAUCUCUUGGUUCUGGCAUCGAUGAAGAACGCAGCGAAAUGCGAUAAGUAAUGUGAAUUGCAGAAUUCAGUGAAUCAUCGAAUCUUUGAACGCACAUUGCGCCCCUUGGUAUUCCGGGGGGCAUGCCUGUUCGAGCGUCAUUACAACCCUCAAGCUCUGCUUGGAAUUGGGCACCGUCCUCACUGCGGACGCGCCUCAAAGACCUCGGCGGUGGCUGUUCAGCCCUCAAGCGUAGUAGAAUACACCUCGCUUUGGAGCGGUUGGCGUCGCCCGCCGGACGAACCUUCUGAACUUUUCUCAAGGUUGACCUCGGAUCAGGUAGGGAUACCCGCUGAACUUAAGCAUAUCAAUAAGCGGAGGAAAAGAAACCAACAGGGAUUGCCUUAGUAACGGCGAGUGAAGCGGCAACAGCUCAAAUUUGAAAGCUGGC
This 584-nucleotide ribosomal RNA is filed under the name fungal endophyte. RNAcentral describes it as "eukaryotic LSU rRNA". The stretch from base 141 to 294 matches the Rfam family "5.8S ribosomal RNA". The record is from RNAcentral. Lineage: Eukaryota; Fungi.